AACGCGAAGAACCUUACCUGGGCUCGAAGCGCAGUGGACUGGGGUAGAAAUAUCCCUUUCCCGCAAGGGACUGCUGCGGAGGUGCUGCAUGGCUGUCGUCAGCUCGUGCCGUGAGGUGUUGGGUUAAGUCCCGCAACGAGCGCAACCCUUACUCAUAGUUGCUACCCGCAAGGGAGAACUCUAUGAGGACUGCUCCGGAUAACGGAGAGGAAGGUGGGGAUGAGGUCAAGUCAGCAUGGCCUUUAUGUCCAGGGCUACACACGUGUUACAAUGCGCGCUACAGAGCGUUGCAAACCCGCGAGGGGGAGCUAAUCGCACAAAAGCGCGCUCAGUUCGGAUUGCAGUCUGCAACUCGACUGCAUGAAGCCGGAAUCGCUAGUAAUGGCGCAUCAGAACGGCGCCGUGAAUACGUUCCCGGGCCUUGUACACACCGCGCAUA
Molecule: ribosomal RNA, 439 nt
Filed under: uncultured bacterium
Lineage: Bacteria
Description: bacterial SSU rRNA
Rfam family: Bacterial small subunit ribosomal RNA
Source: RNAcentral